RNAcentral lists this unclassified non-coding RNA (3175 nucleotides) under Hevea brasiliensis (rubber tree). The record is from RNAcentral. Lineage: Eukaryota; Viridiplantae; Streptophyta; Magnoliopsida; Malpighiales; Euphorbiaceae.
AUUUCUUCCUAUUCUAUUAGGAUUCCUAUUUUGGAUGUAAAAAGACUUCCUACUUUAGUUAGGAUUAAUAUUUUCCUAUUAGGUUUAGGAGAUUAAAACUCUGCAAAUAGCCCCAUAUAUUCUGUGCAUUUUCAGUUUUUGAGUGUUGAUUGAUAAAAUUCUGUUGAGAAUUUCUCUCAAAUACUUGUGUUUUGUGUGUGGAGAGUGUUCUAUUUUUGCUUCACGCUGUGUCAAGGUUCCAUAUGCAUCACACCUAGGCUUGCGUCACACAACUUGAAACAUAUCUCCUGGAAUUUGUAUUGACCAAAAUUUUGAAACAACAUUACAAAUAUAGGUAUUUAUAGACUUAAAAGGUAAUUUUAACAUUUAAGAAUUUGGACUCGAAAAAGUAAAACUUAAAGUAAUCAAAAAAGUAAUUCCAAAAUGGUAAUCCUUAACUAACACUCGAAGUAAAGACUUCUAUAGAAAUUUAGAUCUUUCUAGAAAAUCUGAAAUUGCAAAAAUACCCCCAUGAAUAUUUUAAAUAGACAUAUAAGCAAAAAUCUAAAAGAACUAGAAAGCGCUCUAUAAUUUUCCCAAUAAAUCUAUGUUAAAACAAAAUCAUUAUCCUAAGCGUCUUGAGUGUUUGAAUGUAAAUUUUCUUGAAUUCCUUGGCUUCAUUAGGAAUCUAUAUUUAAGAUCUUGGAUUCCUUAAUGUGUAUUGAUUCAUGAACCAGGAAAGUCACUUAAUGAUGGCUUAUUUGUGGUAUAUGAUGAUAGUGGCCUUAAGAAGAUUACUGAGUAUAUUAGGAUAAAUGAAUACAUAAACACAUAGGCUGACCAUGAUAUGGACAUGUCAAACUAUGGUGAUGAAUGUUGCUCUGCUUGAUAUUGUUGAGAAUUUGGAUGGUGGUGUCAAUGUUGCUAAUGAGACUCUGUUAAAUGGUGAAGGUGUGGAGUGUGAAGGUCAGGGAAUAGGGGUUGACAGGAUAAAUGAGCCAGCUGGAUUUAGGGAUGGUUUUUGGACACAGGGUGGUUGUAUGAAUAAUGAUAUAUUUAUGAUUUCUGGUUUGAGAGCUUAAACAUUGAGGGUGUAGUUGGGAAUGAGGAUGGCAUAUACAGUCUCUUUGUAGAAUGGUCGUAACUGGUGUGAGUUCUAAACAGAUUCAGAGAGAAGGGGAACAAUUAUGAAGGGCAAACAAGUAGUAACUGAGGUAAUAGAUGAGGAUGAUGGAAUUAAAGUGAAUGUUGAAGUUUAAGUAGAGGUUUGUGAGUAUGAUUCAAUCAACACAAAUUAUAGUGAUGAAUCAGAUUUGGAGGAAAUAAAUGAUGAUCUGGAAGAGGAACAGAGUAGAUACAGUUCUGGUAGUGAUGGGAACAAAUGUAUUUCUCAUUUGAUGAUCCAGGGUCAUAUGAGUCUAAUAAUGACACAUCUGGUAAGAAAUAGAUGUUGUAGUGUGGAGAAAAAGUUGGAGAGCAGGAUAUGAUAGCUCAAUGCAAAAUCCCAUAUUUAGCCAUGGAAUAAAAUUUUCUAUUGUAACUGAAUUUAGAGAAGCUAUAGCAAAGUAAUUGGUUGCUUGGGGUGUUAGGGUGGCAUUUAUAAAGAAUGAGUCAGAUAGAUUAAGGGCAAAGUGUUGACGGGGUUUCCCUUUUUUAAUUUUUGCAAGCACGGAAAGUGAAAAUGAUCUUGUCAUUUUGAAUACAUUCAAAGUUGCCUACAGAUGCUAUAAGGUUUUUAAGAAUCCUGGAGCAAGUGCUCAUUUUCUUGCAAAGAUACAUUCAGCUUCAAUGGUACCACGUUAAACAUUGAGAAAAAAUGGCAUGACAUCUCUUUCUUGAACUACGUAAUCUUUACCGUCAGAUCUCAACAGUCCUUUUAACCUUGCUGCUGCUGAAUAAAAGAAUUUAUCACAAACCACAUGCAGAGAUAAAAAAUUUGAAGCGGGGCAUAAUUUGAUAUCCGAAUGUAAUAGAGUGAGUAGUUGUGGGUUGAGCAUGAUUGUGUAUAGACAUAUGCUACUGAGAUAGUGACAUCAAACUAUGAGUCCGUUUGUAAGAUUGAAUUAUGUAGGGAUUGAGGCAAGGAAAGAGGGUAUUUGAUAGGACAAUUAUAUGCUUUGAUAGAUGCAAGAAAGGUUGGGUGAGUGGCUAUAAAUAUAUUAUAGGCAUGAAUGAAUGUUUUUAAAAGGACAUUUGCAAGGGACAAGUAUUUUUUGCAAUGGAAAAAUAUUGAAACAAACACAUUUUUCCUAUAGCAUGGGUUGUGCAUCUCUUUAAAGAUGAAGACAAUCUGAAGUGAUUCUUAGAAUUACUGGUUCUAGAGCCUGGGCUGAGAAAUGGAGCAUGCUUGGCUUGGUAUUAGAUGUGCAAAAGGAUUUGUUGCUAGCAAUCAGGAACUGUUGCCUUAAGCUGAGCAUAGAUAUUGUGAUAGGCAUAUCUAUGCAAAUUAAGAGUACAAAUUAAGAGUACAAGAUAAAGAGGUCGAGAGUUGAAUAAGAGAUUUUGGGAAUGUGCUUGGAGUACAUAUGAAGAAGAGUUUAACAAUAACCUCAAUGGAUGAGGCAUACUACAGUAGCAGUUGCAAAAGUGACAUGAUGGACAACAAUGUUCCAGAAACUUUCGAUUCAUGAAUCAAGGAGGCAAGGGAUAAACCAAUUAUUUCAAUGUUGGAACACCUAAGAAUCUAAGUAAUGAAUAGGGUGGUUGAAAAUAGAAACUUUGCUAGCAAGUGGUAAAUGAAUGGAGUCUAAAGACCACGGAGGAGCAUCAGGAAAAUAUGAAGAAAUCAAGGCAAUGCAGAGUUCAAAUUAAUGGAGAUGAUGGCUAUGAAAUCAACCAUGGGAAAGAUGGCCAAACUAUAUUUUUUCUGUCAAGUUUGCACCUGUAGGGUAUGAAAUCUAGCUGGCAUUUCAUGCCCUUAUGCGAUAUGUACAUUAUUUCAUGAGAAGCAGUUUAAUUUUAAAAUAAUUAAAGGUGUAAAAGUUAUGAAUUUUUAUUUUUUUGGUUCAUGGAGACUGGAAAACGAGAAGUGUAGUUUUUGGAAGUGAAAAAUAAAAAGAAUGUGAUGUAGAAAGGGUGAAAGUGAUGAAAAAUGGAGUGGAGAGGUGAGGGUGUACUGCUUAUUAGGGAUAAAAUGACCAUUUUAGUAUUUUGGAGUAAAUUCAGUCGAACACACUUAAAAUAAAUUUGUUUGUUU